UACGUAGGGUGCGAGCGUUAAUCGGAAUUACUGGGCGUAAAGGGCUCGUAGGCGGCCAACUAAGUCAGACGUGAAAUCCCUCAGCUUAACUGGGGAACUGCGUCUGAUACUGGAUGGCUUGGAUUCGGGAGAGGAAUGCGGAAUUCCAGGUGUAGCGGUGAAAUGCGUAGAUAUCUGGAGGAACACCGGUGGCGAAGGCGGCAUUCUGGACCGAUAUUGACGCUGAGGAGCGAAAGCCAGGGGAGCAAACGGG
This 253-nucleotide ribosomal RNA is filed under the name uncultured bacterium. RNAcentral's name for it is "partial 16S ribosomal RNA". It matches the Rfam family "Bacterial small subunit ribosomal RNA", at positions 524 to 776 of the family's 1533-position model. The record is from RNAcentral.